Molecule: ribosomal RNA, 320 nt
Filed under: uncultured Prevotella sp.
Lineage: Bacteria; Pseudomonadati; Bacteroidota; Bacteroidia; Bacteroidales; Prevotellaceae
Description: partial 16S ribosomal RNA
Source: RNAcentral
GGAGUUUGGUCCGUGUCUCAGUACCAAUGUGGGGGACCUUCCUCUCAGAACCCCUACUGAUCGUAGGCUUGGUGGGCCGUUACCCCGCCAACAACCUAAUCAGACGCAUCCCCAUCCCUUAGCGAUAAAUCUUUGUUCCAGCUCAGAUGUCCUCAUCGGAAAACAUAGGGUAUUAAUCCGACUUUCGCCGGGCGUAUGCCCUACUAAGGGGAAGGUUGGAUACGCGUUACUCACCCGUGCGCCGGUCGCCAUCACCGUGUGCAAGCACACGACAUGCUGCCCCUCGACUUGCAUGUGUUAAGCCUGUAGCUAGCGUUCAU